Molecule: ribosomal RNA, 600 nt
Filed under: Pseudosydowia eucalypti
Lineage: Eukaryota; Fungi; Ascomycota; Dothideomycetes; Dothideales; Saccotheciaceae
Description: eukaryotic LSU rRNA
Rfam family: Eukaryotic large subunit ribosomal RNA
Source: RNAcentral
AGAAACCAACAGGGAUUGCCCUAGUAACGGCGAGUGAAGCGGCAAUAGCUCAAAUUUGAAAGCUGGCCUUCGGGUCCGCAUUGUAAUUUGUAGAGGAUGCUUUGGGGCAGCCGCCUGUCUAAGUUCCUUGGAACAGGACGUCAUAGAGGGUGAGAAUCCCGUAUGUGACAGGACAUGGCACCCUAUGUAAAGCUCCUUCGACGAGUCGAGUUGUUUGGGAAUGCAGCUCUAAAUGGGAGGUAAAUUUCUUCUAAAGCUAAAUACUGGCGAGAGACCGAUAGCGCACAAGUAGAGUGAUCGAAAGAUGAAAAGCACUUUGGAAAGAGAGUUAAAAAGCACGUGAAAUUGUUGAAAGGGAAGCGCUUGCAAUCAGACUUGUUCUGACUGUUCGGCCGGUCUUCUGACCGGUUUAUUCAGUCUGGGCAGGCCAGCAUCAGUUUCGGCGGUCGGAUAAAGGCCUUGGGAAUGUGGCUCUGCCUUCGGGUAGAGUGUUAUAGCCCAGGGUGUAAUACGGCCAGCCGGGACUGAGGUCCGCGCUUCGGCUAGGAUGCUGGCGUAAUGGUUGUAAGCGACCCGUCUUGAAACACGGACCAAGGAGUC